Molecule: long non-coding RNA, 784 nt
Organism: Hermetia illucens (black soldier fly)
Lineage: Eukaryota; Metazoa; Arthropoda; Insecta; Diptera; Stratiomyidae
Exons: 4
Source: RefSeq, a predicted model, not a curated record
UCUCGACUGCUAUAGAUACAGACGGUGUUUUUUGUAGUUUUAUACGGGAAUAUCACUAAGGUUGAAGGUGUCUGAAGCCACAGUACGGCUUAUAAAGAAGAAAGUGGAGUCAGGUUAUAAAGUAAGCCCGAAACGAAGGAGUAGAUGUGGCCUGCCGACCCGCCAAGAGGCCCAAGUUAACGGCUGCGAUGAAAACCAAGCGUCGGAAAUGGACCACACAGUGGCGCUAUAAAGAUGUCAACUUCUGGAGAUCGUCUGCUUUAGCGAUGAAAGCACAUUUGAAAUUUUGCAGAAUAGAGAUCAGUUUUUACGCCCUCGUCCUGGAGAAAAAUUUAAUCCUGACUGCGCUGUUCAACCUGUGAAGCAUCCUACAAAGGUUAUGAUCAGGCCAGUUAUCAGCGGAAAGGUAUUAGACGUUUGUACGUGGUAAAAGGCAUUAUGAGACAAGAUCAGUAUAUAGAAGUCUUGCAAACUCGGUUGGUUCCCCAGCUCAGAGAGUAGUUUCCGAAUGGGGAGCCAUUCAUUUUCAUGCAGGAUGGCGCUGCCUGCCAAACGGAGCGAUCUGUGAAAACUUAUUUGCAAGAGCAGAAUAUUCCUCUAUUGGAUUGGCCGGGCAAUAGCCCCGAUAUGAACCCAAUUGAAAAUAUGUGGGAGCUGAUGAAGAGGGAAGUGGCUAAAGAGGUUAUCACAACCAAAACUCAAACCCAAAAAGUUUCUCAACAAAAUAUUAAUAUUCUAUGGCAUACAUCUCAAAGUUCUUUAGCAUUUUUUGUUAACAAUUAGG